GAUAGGGCCAUUUGCAAAAGCUCAACAGCGCGUUCAGAAAAACACGCCGUCGCGCUAACACACAACACGCUGUCACGCUAACACAAUUUCGCACAACACGCCGUCGCGCUAACACACAACGCGCUGUCACGCUAACACAAGUUCGCACAACACGAUGUCACGCUAACACACAACGCGCUGUCACGCUAACACAAGUUCGCACAACACGAUGUCACGCUAACACACAACGCGCUGUCACGCUAACACAAGUUCGCACAACACGAUGUCACGCUAACACACAACGCGCUGUCACGCUAACACAAGUUCGCACAACACGCCGUCGCGCUGUCACACAACUCGCUAACACAACUUUGCACUCACAGUCUACAGGGAAGUCGUGUACGGAAAUGCGGACUGCGCAUGCUGAUUGAACUAAUACACGUGUAAUGGAGGGAUAUUCGUCUUUGACCAUGUCAGAAAACCCAGAGGACAUAACUCGAGAAGACCUCAUUCGAGAAUACUUUUAUGGUGGAUACACAAAUCUGGAGAUAUGUGGUAUCCUGCUCUUGCGACACAAAAUAGUAAUAAGUGUGAGACAUCUGAAAAGGAUAAUGGCAAUGAUGGGAC
Molecule: long non-coding RNA, 606 nt
Organism: Saccostrea echinata
Lineage: Eukaryota; Metazoa; Mollusca; Bivalvia; Ostreida; Ostreidae
Exons: 3
Source: RefSeq, a predicted model, not a curated record